Molecule: ribosomal RNA, 400 nt
Filed under: uncultured bacterium
Lineage: Bacteria
Description: bacterial SSU rRNA
Rfam family: Bacterial small subunit ribosomal RNA
Source: RNAcentral
CGGGAAUUUUGGGCAAUGGGCGAAAGCCUGACCCAGCAACGCCGCGUGAGGGAUGAAGUAUUUCGGUAUGUAAACCUCGAAAGAAUGGGAAGAAUAAAUGACGGUACCAUUAUAAGCUCCGGCUAACUACGUGCCAGCAGCCGCGGUAAUACGUAGGGAGCAAGCGUUGUUCGGAUUUACUGGGCGUAAAGGGCGCGUAGGCGGCGCGGUAAGUCACUUGUGAAAUCUCUGAGCUUAACUCAGAACGGCCAAGUGAUACUGCUGUGCUAGAGUGCGGAAGAGGCAACCGGAAUUCUUGGUGUAGCGGUGAAAUGCGUAGAUAUCAAGAGGAACACCUGAGGCGAAGGCGGGUUGCUGGGCCGACACUGACGCUGAUGCGCGAAAGCCAGGGGAGCAAACG